Molecule: transfer RNA, 75 nt
Filed under: Lentisphaerota bacterium
Lineage: Bacteria; Pseudomonadati; Lentisphaerota
Also listed under: 3 other names
Description: Lentisphaerae bacterium (feces metagenome) tRNA-Gln
Rfam family: tRNA
About the family: Transfer RNA (tRNA) molecules are approximately 80 nucleotides in length. Their secondary structure includes four short double-helical elements and three loops (D, anti-codon, and T loops). Further hydrogen bonds mediate the characteristic L-shaped molecular structure. tRNAs have two regions of fundamental functional importance: the anti-codon, which is responsible for specific mRNA codon recognition, and the 3' end, to which the tRNAs corresponding amino acid is attached (by aminoacyl-tRNA synthetases). tRNAs cope with the degeneracy of the genetic code in two manners: having more than one tRNA (with a specific anti-codon) for a particular amino acid; and 'wobble' base-pairing, i.e. permitting non-standard base-pairing at the 3rd anti-codon position.
Source: RNAcentral
UGCCCGGUUGUGUAAUGGUCAGCACAGCGGCUUUUGAUGCCGCUUGAGGAGGUUCGAAUCCCCCCCGGGCAACCA